UACGGGGGGGGCAAGCGUUUUUCGGAAUUACUGGGCGUAAAGGGCUCGUAGGCGGCCAACUAAGUCAGACGUGAAAUCCCUCGGCUUAACCGGGGAAUGGCGUCUGAUACUGGAUGGCUUGAGAUUGGGAGAGGGAUGCGGAAUUCCAGGUGUAGCGGUGAAAUGCGUAGAUAUCUGGAGGAACACCGGUGGCGAAGGCGGCAUCCUGGACCAACACUGACGCUGAGGAGCGAAAGCCAGGGGAGCAAACGGG
This 253-nucleotide ribosomal RNA is filed under the name uncultured bacterium. RNAcentral's name for it is "partial 16S ribosomal RNA". It matches the Rfam family "Bacterial small subunit ribosomal RNA", at positions 524 to 776 of the family's 1533-position model. The record is from RNAcentral.